CGAAAUGCGAUAAGUAGUGUGAAUUGCAGAAUUCAGUGAAUCAUCGAAUCUUUGAACGCACAUUGCGCCCUUUGGUAUUCCUUAGGGCAUGCCUGUUCGAGCGUCAUUUAAACCUCCAAGCCCUGCUUGGUGUUGGGUGCCUGUCCCGCCCCCGCGCGUGGACUCACCUCAAAUCCAUUGGCGGCCCCCGCAUGGCCACGAGCGCAGCAGAAACGCAAACUCGUGUGCCGGACCGGGCGGCUCCCAGAAGCUACACUCACCAUUUUUGACCUCGGAUCAGGUAGGGAUACCCGCUGAACUUAAGC
RNAcentral lists this unclassified non-coding RNA (305 nucleotides) under plant metagenome. RNAcentral describes it as "partial contains 5.8S ribosomal RNA, internal transcribed spacer 2, and large subunit ribosomal RNA". The stretch from base 1 to 106 matches the Rfam family "5.8S ribosomal RNA", at positions 49 to 154 of the family's 154-position model. The record is from RNAcentral.